This 101-nucleotide non-coding RNA is filed under the name Alteracholeplasma palmae J233. RNAcentral's name for it is "Acholeplasma palmae J233 Purine riboswitch aptamer". It matches the Rfam family "Purine riboswitch aptamer". From Rfam's summary of the family: Riboswitches are metabolite binding domains within certain messenger RNAs that serve as precision sensors for their corresponding targets. Allosteric rearrangement of mRNA structure is mediated by ligand binding, and this results in modulation of gene expression. RNAcentral also lists the same sequence under 1 other name. The record is from Rfam by way of RNAcentral. Lineage: Bacteria; Bacillati; Mycoplasmatota; Mollicutes; Acholeplasmatales; Acholeplasmataceae.
CAAAAGUGAAAUAGAUAUAAACGUAUAAUAAACCUAAUUGGUGGUUUGAGUCUCUACCACAAGACCUUAAUCUUGUGACUACGUAUCAUGAUAUCUUUAUU